Non-coding RNA from Schistosoma margrebowiei, 46 nucleotides. NCBI's taxonomy places the organism in Eukaryota, Metazoa, Platyhelminthes, Trematoda, Strigeidida, Schistosomatidae. The record is from Rfam.
GCACUGCUGAGGAGUCCCAUACUAAGACGAAACGGCCGUCCAGUGC